GCCCGCCUAGCUCAAUCGGAUAGAGCGUCAGACUUUUAAGGCGGGUUGUCUUGAUCUGAAGGCUGCGAGUUCGACCCUCGCGGUGGGCU
This 89-nucleotide transfer RNA is filed under the name Lentinula raphanica. It matches the Rfam family "tRNA". Rfam says of the family: Transfer RNA (tRNA) molecules are approximately 80 nucleotides in length. Lineage: Eukaryota; Fungi; Basidiomycota; Agaricomycetes; Agaricales; Omphalotaceae. The record is from Rfam by way of RNAcentral.